Molecule: ribosomal RNA, 279 nt
Filed under: uncultured bacterium
Lineage: Bacteria
Description: partial 16S ribosomal RNA
Rfam family: Bacterial small subunit ribosomal RNA
Source: RNAcentral
UGCCAGCAGCCGCGGUAACACGGGGGGCGCGAGCGUUAAUCGGAAUUACUGGGCGUAAAGCGCACGCAGGCGGUUUGUUAAGCUAGAUGUGAAAGCCCCGGGCUCAACCUGGGAUGGUCAUUUAGAACUGGCAGACUAGAGUCUUGGAGAGGGGAGUGGAAUUCCAGGUGUAGCGGUGAAAUGCGUAGAUAUGUGGAGGAAUACCAGUGGCGAAGGCGGCCUCCUGGCCAAAGACUGACGCUCAUGUGCGAAAGUGUGGGUAGCGAACAGGAUUAGAUA